RNAcentral lists this ribosomal RNA (433 nucleotides) under uncultured bacterium. RNAcentral's name for it is "partial 16S ribosomal RNA". It matches the Rfam family "Bacterial small subunit ribosomal RNA", at positions 29 to 507 of the family's 1533-position model. The record is from RNAcentral.
AACGAACGCUGGCGGCAUGCCUAACACAUGCAAGUCGAACGAGACCUUCGGGUCUAGUGUCGCACGGGUGCGUAACGCGUGGGAACCUGCCCUUAGGUUCGGAAUAACUCCCCGAAAGGGGUGCUAAUACCGGAUAAUGUCUUCGGACCAAAGAUUUAUCGCCUUUGGAUGGGCCCGCGUUGGAUUAGCUAGUUGGUAGGGUAAAAGCCUACCAAGGCGACGAUCCAUAGCUGGUCUGAGAGGAUGAUCAGCCACACUGGGACUGAGACACGGCCCAGACUCCUACGGGAGGCAGCAGUGGGGAAUAUUGGACAAUGGGCGAAAGCCUGAUCCAGCAAUGCCGCGUGAGUGAUGAAGGCCUUAGGGUUGUAAAGCGCUUUUACCCGGGAUGAUAAUGACAGUACCGGGAGAAUAAGCUCCGGCUAACUCCGUG